Molecule: unclassified non-coding RNA, 192 nt
Filed under: Thelephoraceae sp. 'Taylor #9'
Lineage: Eukaryota; Fungi; Basidiomycota; Agaricomycetes; Thelephorales; Thelephoraceae
Description: ITS1
Source: RNAcentral
CUGAACUGUCAACACGAGUUGUUGCUGGUCCUCAAAUGGGGGCAUGUGCACGCUCUGUUUACAUACCCACUCACACCUGUGCACCCUCUGUAGUUCUGUGGUGUGGGGGACUCUGUCCUCCCGCUGUGGUUCUAUGUUUUUACACACACACAGUCUCAUAGAAUGUAUGUCGCGUUUAACGCAAUACAAUAC